CAAGUAUCCGACUCAGAUGCCCAGUCCAUGGGAGGCCCGGCAGCAGAUGCUGAGGGCCGAUGCACAAAGGCUUGAGACCCAGGUAGUCCCACCCUUCGGAGGCUGGCGUCACUGGAGCCCCUGCCAUCCUGCCCAGGCAGCAACAAGGAUGGUGACCAGGAAUGAAUGGGGACCACCGGCACCCUACGGCAUCCUGGAGAAGCAGGUGGACGAGAGGCCUCUAUCUAGCCCUGGACGUAUUGGGCUGUGUACCUUCUGUGUCCUGGGUGGACGCCGGGGUUUGCUGCUAGCCCCUGGAGAUACCUGUAGCUUAAGGGCCUAUGGGUAUCUGUAAGCAUAUAUAUAUAUACAUAUAUAUACACACACACACUCAAGAAGGGCCCCCUGGCCCUUAGGUGACUCUCUGCUCCUGGUAAGACUCCCAAGCCUCAGCCACUCUUCCUAUAUGGCUGUUGGUGGUGAACUGGCCUCAGGCCAGGACCAGGCAGUCCAUGGGCCUGUAUGCCCUUGUUGACUAGGUCCUGCCAUAUGUUCAAAGAACACUUGGUCAGGUUUCAAGAUGGCUUUAAGCCUGCAGGUCCCUUUUGGGUCCCCCCCACCUUUCUUACUGGGGUCUAGGUUUGCUCGGAGCAAGGUUGGACCUCUGGGCUCCAAGCCCUUAUCUCAGAUUUUCCGUGGCUAUUUCCCCUUCACUGCCUCUGUGGAAGCCCUUCCCCACAGGGUCUGUCUGGAUUAUUCUGGCCUAGGUCCUGCCCAGUAGCAGGGGCUUCCAGGCUGCAGCCGGACUGCCCCAGUGAUGCCCUCUGCAGGGUAGUGUGGGCAGCUCUCCCUCGCAGAGCAGUGCCUGCCCCACACCCUGGUGGCUAGAGGAGAGGACCCUACAGCCACUAUGGGGCUCCUGCCUGCAGGCAGGGCUGGGAGAAAACAGGGCUGGGGUGGGCAGUACAGGGAGUAUUUUUGUAACUUGCUGGAGUGAAUGAAAGGGGGCGAUUCUAAGUUAUUGUUGCCAAAGACGUGUAUACCUUUGCUUUGGGGGUGGGGGCAAUGUUUUCUUUUUUGUUUUUGUUUUGUUUUUAGUUUGAGGCUUAGGAUGCUGGUGCAAUGAUUUUCUUGUUCCUUGUUUUUUAAGAGAAACCAAGCUAAGAAAAAAAAAAACAAAAACAAAAACAAACAGC
RNAcentral lists this long non-coding RNA (1175 nucleotides) under Rattus norvegicus (Norway rat). Its description in RNAcentral is "long non-coding RNA NONRATT006338". Lineage: Eukaryota; Metazoa; Chordata; Mammalia; Rodentia; Muridae. The record is from RNAcentral.